This 1324-nucleotide long non-coding RNA is filed under the name Mus musculus (house mouse). RNAcentral's name for it is "predicted gene 11342". The record is from RNAcentral. Lineage: Eukaryota; Metazoa; Chordata; Mammalia; Rodentia; Muridae.
UUGGCUCCCUGGAGCUUAAUAAAAGCACACCAGUGAGCUGGGAAGCUCCUCCUGCCUCCCGGGUUCCCAUCACAUGGGCUUCUCACUGUCCUGGAACUUGUGAAAUAUGCAAGGCUCGCUGCCCAGAAAACCCUAGAGAUCUGCUUGUCUCUACUUCACCAGAGCUGGAACUUUGAGCAAGGACAGCUUCUCUUACGUGGUGUCUGGGCAUUGAAUUCAGGAGCUGGAGAUGGAAGGUUCGUCCUGGGGAAGAGUCUAGAUUGAAUGUCACAGUGAUUGAAUGACACAGUGACAGGACAUUCUACAAAGUUGCAGGAUUCUUCAUCUCCUUCCAUGAUGCUGAGUUCUGCUGGUUGGAGGCCAGGAGUGCCAACAACAACUAUUGGGUUUCCUCCUACUACUGAAGUGAAGGGCACAGAAAGACAAUGACAAGUCGCCGGGAUGACAGAUUCAGAUUACUAAAGGGAAAUCAGGUUGCUAGUACAUAGUAGUGCUUAGAAAGUCUAUGCUGAAACUCAAAGACAACUUGUGCUAUUAAAGAAUUCAUGUGUUCACCUAUAAAGAAGUCCAGAAAUACACAAUGGAGACAAAAUAAACAGCAUCUUCAACAAAUGGUGCUAGUUAACCUGGGCAGCCGCAUCUAGAAGAUCCAAAUAGAUCCAUACCUGUCACCUCACACAAAACUCAACUCCAAAUGGAUCAAAGGCUUCAACAUAAAAUCAAAUACACUGAACCUGAUAGAAGAGAAAGUGGGAAAUAGCCCUGAACUCUUUGGCACAGAAAAAGACUUUCUGAACAGAACACUAUUAACAUGGUCACUAAGAUCCACAAUUAAUUAAUUGGACCUUGUGAAACUGAAAAGAUUCUGCAUGUCAAAGGACAGCAUUAUUCAGACAAAGUGGCAGCCUACAAAAUGGAAAAUGUUUUACCAACUACACAUUUAAUAGAGGGCUACUAUUCAAAAUAUAGGGAAAAAAAUCUAAAAAAAAAAAUCCUAGGUAUCAAGGAAACAAAUACCUCAGUUAAAAAGUGGUACACAGAAGUGGGAGAGAGGACAGCAUAGAUCAUAUAAUGAAUUCCUUAUAUGUGAAGUUUUCCACAAAACAAAAAAGAGACAGUCAAACAACCUUGCCUAUCAAUGCAGCAUUACAUUACAUUUUGUUUAAAUUUAAAAAGUUUAUGUAUGUUUAUGAUACAGACGAGAAAACCCUGAGAAUAUGUCUUCUCACUUCUAAUUGAUUAGAAUCUCUGAAAAUGUAACCAGCAUAAUGUUCAAUUGUAGACACUAAAAGACAAGUAAAAUGUGAGAAAUGCAAUAUUGAUU